Molecule: long non-coding RNA, 1675 nt
Organism: Herpailurus yagouaroundi (jaguarundi)
Lineage: Eukaryota; Metazoa; Chordata; Mammalia; Carnivora; Felidae
Exons: 5
Source: RefSeq, a predicted model, not a curated record
GCGGCGUCCCGGGGAGCGCGCGCGCCCCCCUCGAAGGCCUCGCCCGGGACCCGGCGGAAUCAAAGGGGCAUCUUCGCUUCCGCGGGUCGGGGCCGCCGCUCGCCCCUCCGCCGGCCUUGGAGGGCGUUACGGGGCGCCCCUUCCGCGGGCAGCGGAUGGCAGCCCAGCGCCUUUGCGGGCACCGCCUGGACGGCCUGCGCGGAGGUCUUUCUUUUAGUCCUCUGGGAAUAAUGUGAUGCUAGACAUGCUGGACUGAGAAAGGAAAAAAAAAAAAAAAGCAAAACACAAAAGCAAAAAAAAAAAAAAAAACCCAUUUGGGUCAAUGACGGAGCGUCAGGCCGCAGCGACGGGGGAGGGGAGCGACUUAAGCAAAGUCCGCUGCCUCAAAAAUGCACGUUGGUCUGUGGGAGGUGCAGGUGAGAAGCCAGAAGCCAGGCGGAGAAGGGACCCCUUGCGCGUGUCACCUAAGGUUUGGCAAGCCUUGACUACGGUUACUUCUGAGUCACUCUGGUGUCCGUGUCUCAACAGCCAUCAGAACCUGGGACAGCUGCUCUGAGGCAGGAGUUUCCUAUACAACCUGUGCAGAGACAUCCCACGUGGCCCCGGUCUUGCUGAGCAACUGUUGGGUCUCCUGGUGGCCCGCGGGGAAGCAGGACCAAGCUUUCGGAGCCUACCACACAUCCCAUCCAGCUCCACAUUGUGACAUCACCUUGGAGCCUGAAACGAGCCAUGGUGGGAAUGACGGACGCCAUGAAAACCGGCCAACACUACAAAGCGGGACUGUUUUCCUCAGGUGGCUAAACAUUUGCCAGCACAUCCCUGCCUAAGCUCCAGCUGGGGAAGAGGCAGCCUUCUGCGAUGCGGGAAGUCACAGAGCGAGUCCCGAGUGGUGAGCAGGGCAGAAGGCCCUUCUGCCAAUUUCCCUGUGGGCUGGAAAUGAAAACACCACCACCCAUGGAGUCUAGCCCAUCUUCCUUCUCAUCUCGAGGCCACAGGCGCUCAGCAUCACCUGCCUUCAGGGGACUUCCCAGUCCCUGUGGAGUGGGAAGCCGCUCUGGACGCGAGCAGAGGUGCGAUUCAGAGCACUUGAGGGAGAAGGAACUUACUUUUCAAACUUUGCUAACACGUCAGCUACGAUGGUUCGGCUUUCAAUGGCUUUAUCCACAUUUCCGUUGUACUCAAACAAGGCGAACAUGUUCCUGCUGUCCUCCAUGGCAAGGCCUCUGAUCAGCUUCUCCACCACCUGCAAAAUAUACCCCGAGGGCUUCGGCUGCCAGCACGUGGUUCUAGAAUGUGCCUUCCCCUGAACCCCAAGGGAGCUGCCGACAAGCGAGGGUCCAAGCAGCCCCCCUACAACUGUCCUGUGUGGUCACGCAGAAUUUCAAAGGUGCCGUUUUUCCAUUAGUCUCUAGAAACCAGAUUUGUCUUAUCCUUGUAAAAAAAAAGAACACGGGGUAUGUAUUUCACCCACUGGUAGAGAUGGAUGGCGGGCGGAUUUCUUGCAGACCCAUCCUGGUAGGAAAGUGCAUGAAAACCGAAGCCCUUUCAUCUGAUACAUCCAUCGCCUGCCAAGAAACAAGGGUUUCCACCGUGUUUCUUCCUUCCACGCCAGAAGCUUCUCUGGGUUUUACUGCCCUACUUCUUUUAGACAACUGGUUUUACAAUACUAAAUUUU